AAUCAACGCUGGCGGCGUGCCUAACACAUGCAAGUCGCACGAGAAAGAGGGGGCAACCCUUGAGUAAAGUGGCGUACGGGUGAGUAACACGUGACUAACCUACCUCCGAAUGGGAAGUAACACCGGGAAACCGGUGCUAAUACCGCAUAACAUCUACGGAUCAAAGCAGCAAUGCGUUUGGAGAGGGGGUCGCGGCUGAUUAGCUAGUUGGUAAGGUAAUGGCUUACCAAGGCGACGAUCAGUAUCCGGCCUGAGAGGGCGCACGGACACACUGGAACUGAAACACGGUCCAGACUCCUACGGGAGGCAGCAGUGGGGAAUUUUGCGCAAUGGGGGAAACCCGUGACGCAGCAACCGCCGCGUGGAGGAUGAAGGUCUUUGGAUUGUAAACUCCUUUCGAUCGGACGAUUAUGACGGUACCGGAAGAAGAAGCACCGGCUAACUCUGUGCCAGCAGCCGCGGUAAG
Molecule: ribosomal RNA, 466 nt
Filed under: uncultured bacterium
Lineage: Bacteria
Description: bacterial SSU rRNA
Rfam family: Bacterial small subunit ribosomal RNA
Source: RNAcentral